This 775-nucleotide transfer RNA is filed under the name uncultured cyanobacterium. Its description in RNAcentral is "partial contains 16S ribosomal RNA, 16S-23S ribosomal RNA intergenic spacer, and 23S ribosomal RNA". The stretch from base 268 to 340 matches the Rfam family "tRNA". Lineage: Bacteria; Bacillati; Cyanobacteriota. The record is from RNAcentral.
CAGGGAGACAACACAAUGAUUUUGAUGCCUGAGUGCUUUUAUUCUUAGGCCGAAAUCCUGUCACCUUAGGUCGAUCGGUACCUCAGCUUUGAAGUCAAGGAUCAGCAGCAAUGUUGAUUGCUUGAUGGAGAUUUUCAGUUCCUAAACUUUGUCUAGGUCACACCCCAAAAGGGAUGAGACUCCUGGGCCAUUAGCUCAGGUGGUUAGAGCGCACCCCUGAUAAGGGUGAGGUCCCUGGUUCAAGUCCAGGAUGGCCCAUUCGGUGUUGGGGGUUUAGCUCAGUUGGUAGAGCGCCUGCUUUGCAAGCAGGAUGUCAGGAGUUCGAGUCUCCUAACCUCCACUGACCGAACUUGAUUCCCAUCUCCAAAAUUUUUGGAGUUGAGCUCGAUUGGAGUGUGAUUUAGAUGUGUCCGCUGGAUGACCCCAGCUUCCUGUCAUUCCAAGUUUUAGGUUGAUGCCUUGAAUUUGGUUGAUAAGAUGCUGGGCUCGGAUCAAAUGAUCAAGCAAUUGAUGAUUUGAUUUGAAGUUCUAGCAGAACCUUGACAACUGCAUAGGUGAGUCUGGAAAAAACAAAGCAUCUUACAGAUGCAUUGUUUUGAAUCUGAUCUUCUGAAAGGGAGAUUGGAUCUAGAACAAUGAAAAUUCUUUUGAGCAAGAGCCGAGACUCUUGAGCGUUCUUUGAUUGGUGUCGAGCCAAUCAGAGUUUGAUCUUGUUUUUAGCAAUAAAGACUUGAGAAUCUGCUUUCAACGGCGGUAAGCGUUCAAGAGGUUAAUU